RNAcentral lists this ribosomal RNA (177 nucleotides) under uncultured bacterium. RNAcentral describes it as "partial 16S ribosomal RNA". It matches the Rfam family "Bacterial small subunit ribosomal RNA", at positions 1325 to 1500 of the family's 1533-position model. The record is from RNAcentral.
GCUGGAAUUGCUAGUAAUGGCAGGUCAGCAUACUGCCGUGAAUACGUUCCCGGGCCCUUGUACACACCGCCCGUCACACCAUGAGAGUUGGGAAUACCCGAAGCCUGUGAGCUAACUGUAAGGAGGCAGCAGUCGAAGGUAGAAUCAAUGAUUGGGGUGAAGUCGUAACAAGGUAGC